RNAcentral lists this ribosomal RNA (253 nucleotides) under uncultured microorganism. RNAcentral describes it as "partial 16S ribosomal RNA". It matches the Rfam family "Bacterial small subunit ribosomal RNA", at positions 524 to 776 of the family's 1533-position model. The record is from RNAcentral.
UACGUAGGGUGCGAGCGUUAAUCGGAUGUACUGGGCGUAAAGGGGGCGUAGGCGGCCGUGAAAGUCCGGUGUGAAAACUCACGGCUCAACCGUGGGACUGCGCUGGAAACUACACGGCUUGAGGACGGUAGAGGGAGACGGAACUGCUGGUGUAGGGGUGAAAUCCGUAGAUAUCAGCAGGAACGCCGGUGGAGAAGUCGGUCUCCUGGGCCGUUCCUGACGCUGAGGCCCGAAAGCUAGGGGAGCAAACCGG